CUCGUUUUUCUGUCGAAAGCUCAACUGUGGCCUCUUGAAACGGUGAAAGAACGCUCAAGCAGUGGUGUAUGGCCUGGUAGUCCUCUGAGAUUCGAGCAAAACCACAAAUGGGAGACAGCGCUUCACCUGUGAUGGUUUGACAUGCAACAAAACUUUAGACUGUGAGGGGAACGACGACUACUGUUUUACCGCAUCGGGUCCUGAAGGAGGAACCAUAACCACCUUAACUUCUGCAACAGUGCUGUCACUGCAAGUACAGGUCUGCAGCUUGUAGUAGUGGCGUUAGUCUCUUUGACAUUGUUUUCUUAAGAGAAAAUUCAAACAGUGAAUUCUUUGGCACCUCUCUUUUUCAUACACAAAGUCUAUAAGGCCCUCACCCUUUUCUUCUUUCAACUUCUCUUUUGAAGAUUCAAAGUUUGGAAUCCAAAAUGAUUAUUUUUGAUGCGUUUUUUUGUGUUAGUUUCUUUUUUAUUUUCACCUGUCAAACUGUGUGUAAAUUUAAAUAUGAAAUAAAGUUUCAUCUCAUUAAGAGGGAAACUAAUUUGAGGUUGUGGUUUUUGACUGGAAUGUUUUUUGACUGUCUUGGAUGUUUGUUAUCAAGGUAUGACUGACUUCUUUUUACCAACAAGUGAAUAAUAGCUGUUUAAAUAAAAUCCUUUCAAAUCACUUUAGGUACACCUCAAAAUCCUAAAGCAAUAAAUUGUACUUCAUUAAUCUUUUUUUUAAUCCUCCACUACAGUUUGCUUUUGUUUUCAGUUUAAAAAAUAAAUAAUUUUAAAUAGGCUGUACUUUUUAUUAAGCUGCAUUUUAAUUUGUGAUUUCCAUCAUUAUAUGCCUUAGCCUCCUUUUUUUUCUCCAUUACAUUUUAGUAGCACCUCUGAGGACAGACCCCCCCAUCCGUAUCAAAAAACUAAGGACCAUGUAUGGAAACUACUUUUAAAGACAAAUGUUUAAGGGGACACCAAAGAUACAUAGCAAUAUAGCUGGAUAAGUGCAAUCCACGCUCCUAUCACAGUACCAGACCUUACUGCUUAUGACAGCAGACACCAUUCAUUUUAUUCAUAAUAAAGACACCGAAUGUUAAGCUGUCAUAGGUAUUUUUAAUGAAUAAGGCAAACCAAUUCAAUGAAAAUGGAAGUUCUCAAUGAGUCUCUGUCAAAUUAAAAAAAUUGAAAUGUGAAAUUUUAAUAUAAAUAUUAUUCAAUAUGUUUGAAUAAUGUGCUAGUUUGGUCACACCCAUCAGCAAAAUCUUUAAAAAAAAACUCAGCUACACCCACAAUGCGGUAGUGAGAAAGGGUCCAGUCUUUACAAUCAUUGGUUUGCAUUUUCAAGUGAGCUUGGGAAAACACAGACAUAACUGUUAGAUUUCAUUUUAAGUUAAUAAAAAUAGAAUACAUUUAAAAAAAAUUGGUUAAAUCUGACAAAACUCAAAUCUUUUUUAACAGUUUCCAUCUCGGAGGUCAGCCUACUUAGAAGA
Oryzias latipes (Japanese medaka) is the source of this 1477-nucleotide long non-coding RNA. RefSeq lists it as uncharacterized. Lineage: Eukaryota; Metazoa; Chordata; Actinopteri; Beloniformes; Adrianichthyidae. The record is from RefSeq and is a predicted model, not a curated record.